RNAcentral lists this ribosomal RNA (253 nucleotides) under uncultured prokaryote. RNAcentral's name for it is "partial 16S ribosomal RNA". It matches the Rfam family "Bacterial small subunit ribosomal RNA", at positions 524 to 776 of the family's 1533-position model. The record is from RNAcentral.
UACAGAGGGGGCAAGCGUUAUUCGGAAUUAUUGGGCGUAAAGGGCGCGUAGGCGGCUUUGCAAGCGAAGGGUGAAAUCCCUCGGCUUAACCGAGGAACGGCCCGUCGAACUGCUUAGCUUGAGGCCGGGAGAGGCGAGUGGAAUUCCCAGUGUAGCGGUGAAAUGCGUAGAUAUUGGGAGGAACACCAGUGGCGAAGGCGGCUCGCUGGACCGGUUCUGACGCUGAGGCGCGAAAGCGUGGGUAGCAAACAGG